AGAUACCCUGGUAGUCCACGCUGUAAACGAUGUCGAUUUGAAGGUUGUUCCCUUGAGGAGUGGCUUUCGGAGCUAACGCGUUAAAUCGACCGCCUGGGGAGUACGGCCGCAAGGUUAAAACUCAAAUGAAUUGACGGGGGCCCGCACAAGCGGUGGAGCAUGUGGUUUAAUUCGAUGCAACGCGAAGAACCUUACCUACUCUUGACAUCCAGAGAACUUAGCAGAGAUGCUUUGGUGCCUUCGGGAACUCUGAGACAGGUGCUGCAUGGCUGUCGUCAGCUCGUGUUGUGAAAUGUUGGGUUAAGUCCCGCAACGAGCGCAACCCUUAUCCUUUGUUGCCAGCGAUUCGGUCGGGAACUCAAAGGAGACUGCCGGUGAUAAACCGGAGGAAGGUGGGGAUGACGUCAAGUCAUCAUGGCCCUUACGAGUAGGGCUACACACGUGCUACAAUGGCGUAUACAAAGAGAAGCGACCUCGCGAGAGCAAGCGGAACUCAUAAAGUACGUCGUAGUCCGGAUUGGAGUCUGCAACUCGACUCCAUGAAGUCGGAAUCGCUAGUAAUCGUAGAUCAGAAUGCUACGGUGAAUACGUUCCCGGGCCUUGUACACACCGCCCGUCACACCAUGGGAGUGGGUUGCAAAAGAAGUAGGUAGCUUAACCUUCGGGAGGGCGCUUACCACUUUGUGAUUCAUGACUGGGGUGAAGUCGUA
This 710-nucleotide ribosomal RNA is filed under the name uncultured bacterium. RNAcentral describes it as "bacterial SSU rRNA". It matches the Rfam family "Bacterial small subunit ribosomal RNA", at positions 780 to 1490 of the family's 1533-position model. The record is from RNAcentral.